UUAUUUUUUAGCUGUAAUUUUAAUUUUAUUAUUAAUAGUUAAGUUCUUUAAAUUAAAUAGGUUUGGCGGUAAUUUAGUCUUUUCAGAGGAACCUGUUCUUUAAUUGAUAAUCCACGUUGAAUUUUUCCUUUAUUUUGGUUUGUAUAUCUCUGUCAUUGAAUGUCUUAUUAGGGUUUACUUUCUUAAAUUUUAAUUUAAUUUAAUGUCAAGUCAAGGUGCAGCUAUAUUAAGGUUUGAAAUGGGUUAUAUUUAAUGUUAUUUAUAGGAUUAUUUAUUUGUAAUUAAUUUUAUUAAAAAAGAUUUGAUAGUAAAUUUAUUUUUAUUUAUAUAUUUUGAUUACAGCUCUAUAUUAUGUACAUAUCGCCCGUCGCUCUCGCCUAUAUUUAAAGUGGGAUAAGUCGUAACAAAGUAAUUUUACUGGAAUGUGUAAUUGGAAGUUAUCAAGUUAUCUAUAGUAGUAUUAUUAUUUACAAUAAUAUAAUUGGUUGUGCAAUUCACCUUAACUUGAUUAGUAAACUUCUUAUUUUUUAUUUAUUAUCUAUUUUAUGUAUUUUAAUUAUAAUUUUUAUUUAGUAUUUUUAUAGAAUUUUUUAUUUUAAUUAUAGUUUAUUGUACUGUGAAGGUUAUUUUAUUAUUAUUUAAAAGCUUAUUUUUUUGUAGUACCUUUUGUAUCAGGGUUUAUUAAUAAAUUUUUAUUUAUUUAUAAUAUUUCUCGAAGUUAAACGUUUUAAUUUUAUUUGGAAGUUACUGUUGUAAAAUUAUUUUUAAAUUAAAAUUAGUUAUUAUAUGUUAUUCAAGUUUAAAUAUCUAGUUUUUUAAUAAUUAAAUUUAAUUUAGGAUUAUUUAUGUUAUUUUUUAUUUUAAUUAUUUAUUAAUUAAAUAAUCUUAUUUUAAGGGGGAUAAGCUCUUUAAUUUUUUAUAUUAAUUUUAUUAUUAAUUUUUGUAGGCUUGAUAACAGCCAUCUUUAAUUUCGUUUUAGUUUAUUUUAUUCUUAUUUUUUAUUUAUUAUCUGAUUAAUUUUUUAUUAAAAUAAUUAAUUUAAUUUUAAUUUUAUUGUAAUAAUGAUUUAAUUAGUAGUUUUGUAAAUUAAUUUAUAGUAAUUCGGCAUUUUAAAUUUCCGCCUGUUUAACAAAAACAUGUCUUAUUGUAUUUUAUUUUAAGUCUAUUCUGCUCAGUGAUUUUAUUAAAUAGCUGCAGUAUAUUACCUGUACAAAGGUAGCAUAAUAAUUUGUCUUUUUAUUGGGGGCUUGUAUGAAUGAUUGGACGAGAUAUUAACUUUCUUUAUAUUAAUUUAUGAAUUUGAUUUUUUAGUGAAAAUGCUAGGAUUUUUUUAUGGGACGAGAAGACCCUAUAGCCAUUUUAUUGUUAAUGAAUUUUUUGUUUUAUUUUUUAACAACUUCUUAUUUUUUAUUCUUUUUGAUUGGGGUGAUUGUGAAAUUUUUUAAACUUUUAUUUAUUAUUAUUCAAUAAUUUUUGUUUUUUUGAUCCUGUAUUAUGGAUUAUAAGAUAAAAUUACCUUAGGGAUAACAGCGUAAUUUUUUUAGAGAGUUCUUAUCGAUAAUAUAAGU
RNAcentral lists this ribosomal RNA (1568 nucleotides) under Paromius exiguus. RNAcentral's name for it is "partial 16S rRNA". Lineage: Eukaryota; Metazoa; Arthropoda; Insecta; Hemiptera; Rhyparochromidae. The record is from RNAcentral.